Molecule: ribosomal RNA, 481 nt
Filed under: uncultured bacterium
Lineage: Bacteria
Description: bacterial SSU rRNA
Rfam family: Bacterial small subunit ribosomal RNA
Source: RNAcentral
AACGAACGCUGGCGGCGUGCUUAACACAUGCAAGUCGAACGGGGGUAUACGGAGAAAUUGGUUUCGGCUGAUGGAUUUGUAUAACUUAGUGGCGACGGGUGAGGAACACGUAGGUAACCAAUCCUGAAGCGGGGGACAACUGCGGGAAACCGGAGCUAAUACCGCAUAAGACCACAGGCUGAGAGGCUGGUGGUAAAAGGAGCAAUUCACUUCAGGCUGGGCCUGCGGCCUAUCAGGUAGUUGGUGGGGUAAGAGCCUACCAAGCCAGAGACGGGUAGCCGGACUGAGAGGUUGAACGGCCACACUGGAACUGAGACACGGUCCAGACUCCUACGGGAGGCAGCAGUGGGGAAUUUUGCGCAAUGGGGGAAACCCUGACGCAGCGACGCCGCGUGGAGGAUGAAGGUUUUCGGAUUGUAAACUCCUUUUGUAGGGGAAAAUAGUGAUGGUACCCUACGAAUAAGCCACGGCUAACUCUGUG